Triticum dicoccoides is the source of this 273-nucleotide long non-coding RNA. RefSeq lists it as uncharacterized. Lineage: Eukaryota; Viridiplantae; Streptophyta; Magnoliopsida; Poales; Poaceae. The transcript has 3 exons. The record is from RefSeq and is a predicted model, not a curated record.
UAGGUAUCCUGGGGUGAUUCAAGAUGCUCAGGUGUAUCACACUGCAUGGUACACAGGUCAGUUUUGCAGGCUGCUCUGAGAUACACUGAUUUAGAUACAACCACAUGUCUGCAGCAAUUUCUUACUCUCGGUAUAAAGACCAGCUCAUGGUGUGGGAAGCAUCUCAUAUGGUUCACCGAAUCAAUUGAUGAAUCUGAAGCGAUUCAAGAGGAGGAGCAAAAAUUGUUUAUGCCUAUAGUGAAACGGAAGGCCAUGAACAACGCGUCUCCGGGA